CCACGGGUGGCAGCAGUGGGGAAUAUUGGACAAUGGGCGAAAGCCUGAUCCAGCCAUGCCGCGUGUGUGAAGAAGGCCUUCGGGUUGUAAAGCACUUUCAGUGGGGAAGAAAGCCUUGGGGCUAAUACCCUCGAGGAAGGACAUCACCCACAGAAGAAGCACCGGCUAACUCCGUGCCAGCAGCCGCGGUAAUACGGAGGGUGCGAGCGUUAAUCGGAAUUACUGGGCGUAAAGCGCGCGUAGGCGGUCUGAUAAGCCGGUUGUGAAAGCCCCGGGCUCAACCUGGGAACGGCAUCCGGAACUGUCAGGCUAGAGUGCAGGAGAGGAAGGUAGAAUUCCCGGUGCAGCGGUGAAAUGCGUAGAGAUCGGGAGGAAUACCAGUGGCGAAGGCGGCCUUCUGGACUGACACUGACGCUGAGGUGCGAAAGCGUGGGUAGCAAACAGGAUUAGAUACCCCGGUAGUC
This 464-nucleotide ribosomal RNA is filed under the name Vreelandella stevensii. RNAcentral describes it as "partial 16S ribosomal RNA". It matches the Rfam family "Bacterial small subunit ribosomal RNA", at positions 339 to 795 of the family's 1533-position model. Lineage: Bacteria; Pseudomonadati; Pseudomonadota; Gammaproteobacteria; Oceanospirillales; Halomonadaceae. The record is from RNAcentral.